RNAcentral lists this ribosomal RNA (504 nucleotides) under uncultured bacterium. RNAcentral's name for it is "bacterial SSU rRNA". It matches the Rfam family "Bacterial small subunit ribosomal RNA", at positions 29 to 523 of the family's 1533-position model. The record is from RNAcentral.
AUUGAACGCUGGCGGCAUGCUUUACACAUGCAAGUCGAACGGUAACAGGCCGCAAGGUGCUGACGAGUGGCGAACGGGUGAGUAAUGCAUCGGAACGUGCCCAGUCGUGGGGGAUAACGCAGCGAAAGCUGCGCUAAUACCGCAUACGAUCUAUGGAUGAAAGCGGGGGACCGUAAGGCCUCGCGCGAUUGGAGCGGCCGAUGUCAGAUUAGGUAGUUGGUGGGGUAAAGGCUCACCAAGCCAACGAUCUGUAGCUGGUCUGAGAGGACGACCAGCCACACUGGGACUGAGACACGGCCCAGACUCCUACGGGAGGCAGCAGUGGGGGAAUUUUGGACAAUGGGCGCAAGCCUGAUCCAGCAAUGCCGCGUGCAGGAAGAAGGGCCUUCGGGUUGUAACUAGCUUUGUACGGAACGAAAAGGACGUCUGGUUAAUAACCUGGGCGACAUGACGGUACCGUAAGAAUAAGACACCGGCUAACUACGUAGCCAGCAGCCGCGGUAA